CGUAGGUGGCGAGCGUUUGUCCGGAAUUAUUGGGCGUAAAGGGAGCGCAGGCGGGAGGUCAAGUCUAUCUUAAAAGUGCGGGGCUCAACCCCGUGAGGGGAUGGAAACUGGUCUUCUUGAGUGCAGGAGAGGAAAGCGGAAUUCCUAGUGUAGCGGUGAAAUGCGUAGAUAUUAGGAGGAACACCAGUGGCGAAGGCGGCUUUCUGGACUGUAACUGACGCUGAGGCUCGAAAGCGUUGGGGAGCGA
Molecule: ribosomal RNA, 247 nt
Filed under: uncultured bacterium
Lineage: Bacteria
Description: partial 16S ribosomal RNA
Rfam family: Bacterial small subunit ribosomal RNA
Source: RNAcentral